Non-coding RNA from Prunus avium (sweet cherry), 481 nucleotides. NCBI's taxonomy places the organism in Eukaryota, Viridiplantae, Streptophyta, Magnoliopsida, Rosales, Rosaceae. The record is from RefSeq and is a predicted model, not a curated record.
CUGCAAGUACCGGACAUCCAAGGCCAAAACCUGAAGCAUGCAAGUGAGAGAGGUCAAGUUUUAACCAAAGGACUGCAUUGAGUCAAAUUAUAAAACAGUUACAGAGCAGUUUAUACCAGCGGUUGCUUAAAAGAGAGUUAAAUUUGAUCAAGGGUAUCUUUUACAGAGCAUUCAAUUUACUCCCCCACCGUGUUUAAGCACAUAGUGCGAAACUUGGGAAAGGAGGCAUUAAUGAACGGUGUACACUGCAAGAAAUAUGUUGAAGCUGGAACUUAGUAGCCAAUAAAGGGGGACAUGGGGGAGGUUGCUUUGUAUCUAAUGGGAUCUGAAUGAUUGGACACGAUGGUGGGUGACUUGCUAAACUAUCAUCAGACGAACAACUAUAGUAGAUUCGCUUUCCAAGUGCCGCUGGAGCUCUCUGUCAUUGAUAAAAAUCAUAUUUGGUGGACCGAUGCUCUCAACUUCAUGCCAGUAUCCUUUC